RNAcentral lists this ribosomal RNA (358 nucleotides) under uncultured Sulfuricurvum sp. RNAcentral describes it as "bacterial SSU rRNA". It matches the Rfam family "Bacterial small subunit ribosomal RNA", at positions 1025 to 1382 of the family's 1533-position model. Lineage: Bacteria; Pseudomonadati; Campylobacterota; Epsilonproteobacteria; Campylobacterales; Sulfurimonadaceae. The record is from RNAcentral.
AGCCAGGAGACAGGUGCUGCACGGCUGUCGUCAGCUCGUGUCGUGAGAUGUUGGGUUAAGUCCCGCAACGAGCGCAACCCUCGUCCUUAGUUGCUAACAGUUCGGCUGAGCACUCUAGGGAGACUGCCUUCGCAAGGAGGAGGAAGGUGAGGACGACGUCAAGUCAUCAUGGCCCUUACGGCCAGGGCUACACACGUGCUACAAUGGGGCGUACAGAGAGCUGCGAUACCGCGAGGUGGAGCCAAUCUCUUAAAGCGUCUCUCAGUUCGGAUUGUUCUCUGCAACUCGAGAACAUGAAGCUGGAAUCACUAGUAAUCGCAGAUCAGCUAUGCUGUGGUGAAUACCGUUCCCGGGCCUU